GGUGCCAGCAGCCGCGGUAAUACCGGCAGCUCAAGUGGUCGUCGCUUUUAUUGGGCCUAAAACGUCCGUAGCCUGUUUGGUAAAUCUGUGGGUAAAUCAACCAGCUUAACUGGUUGAAUUCUGCAGAGACUGCCAGACUGGGGACCGGGAGAGGUGUGGGGUACUCUAGGGGUAGGGGUAAAAUCCUGUCAUCCUUAGAGGACCACCAGUUGCGAAGGCGCCACACUGGAACGGAUCCGACGGUCAGGGACGAAGCCUAGGGGCACGAACCGGAUUAGAUACCCGGGUAGUCCUAGGUGUAAACGCUGUGAACUUGGUGUCGGGGAUCCGUAAUGGGUUCUCGGUGCCGGAGUGAAGAUGUUAAGUUCACUGCCUGGGGAGUACGGUCGCAAGGCUGAAACUUAAAGGAAUUGGCGGGGGAGCACUGCAACGGGAGGAGCGUGCGGUUUAAUUGGAUUCAACGCCGGAAAACUCACCAAGGCCGACUGUUAGAUGAAGAUCAGCGUAAUGAGCUUAUCGGAUUUUCAGAGAGGUGGUGCAUGGCCGU
Molecule: ribosomal RNA, 547 nt
Filed under: uncultured dinoflagellate
Lineage: Eukaryota; Dinophyceae
Description: bacterial SSU rRNA
Rfam family: Archaeal small subunit ribosomal RNA
Source: RNAcentral